RNAcentral lists this ribosomal RNA (412 nucleotides) under uncultured bacterium. RNAcentral describes it as "bacterial SSU rRNA". It matches the Rfam family "Bacterial small subunit ribosomal RNA", at positions 355 to 764 of the family's 1533-position model. The record is from RNAcentral.
UGAGGAAUAUUGGGCAAUGCCCGCAAGGGUGACCCAGCAACGCCGCGUGGAGGAUGAAUGUCGUAAGAUUGUAAACUCCUGUUAGAGGGGAAGAAUAGUACCGGUUGGACCGGUAUAUGACUGUACCCUCAGAGAAAGCCCCGGCUAACUACGUGCCAGCAGCCGCGGUAAUACGUCGGGGGCAAGCGUUGUCCGGAUUUACUGGGUGUAAAGGGCGCGCAGGCGGGAUAAAAAGUCAGUGGUGAAAUCCUACAGCUUAACUGUAGAACUGCCUUUGAUACUUUUAUUCUUGAGUUCGGGAGAGAGAGACGGAAUUCCAGGUGUAGUGGUGAAAUACGUAGAUAUCUGGAAGAACACCAGUUGCGAAGGCGGUCUCUUGAUCCGACACUGACGCUGAGGCGCGAAAGCGUGG